AGCAAAUCAAAAGAAGUAUUUGAAUAAGCAGUUACUCUACUUGAGAAAGCCUACUUGGUUUGUGAUUAGUAGUUAUUAAGUUUCAUUUUCUCAGAUUCAAGUUCAUUGACUCAGGCUUAGGUUUCAGUCUGCUUAUGUAGGUUACCAAGGCAUUAGAGCCUCCCUGGUCUAACAGCCUUCUUGUUUAAUUACUUUAACAAAAUGCCCACUACUAUUACUUUAUUUCAAUGUCUUCUCUCAUUUCAGCUAACUGGGACAGAUAUUGGCCAGUAUCAACAUAAAUCAGCUUGAGUUCAGAGAAUUCAAGAUUCGGGAAUAAACAUACAGAUUUUUAUUCUACCUUCUCAUCCUUAUUACAAUGUAAACACCAUCUGGAU
This 377-nucleotide long non-coding RNA is filed under the name Mustela putorius furo (domestic ferret). RNAcentral describes it as "lncRNA (ENSMPUG00000029394.1)". The record is from RNAcentral. Lineage: Eukaryota; Metazoa; Chordata; Mammalia; Carnivora; Mustelidae.